This 497-nucleotide ribosomal RNA is filed under the name uncultured bacterium. Its description in RNAcentral is "partial 16S ribosomal RNA". It matches the Rfam family "Bacterial small subunit ribosomal RNA", at positions 28 to 507 of the family's 1533-position model. The record is from RNAcentral.
GAUGAACGCUGGCGGCGUGCCUAAUACAUGCAAGUCGAGCGAACGGACGAGAAGCUUGCUUCUCUGAUGUUAGCGGCGGACGGGUGAGUAACACGUGGAUAACCUACCUAUAAGACUGGGAUAACUUCGGGAAACCGGAGCUAAUACCGGAUAAUAUUUUGAACCGCAUGGUUCAAAAGUGAAAGACGGUCUUGCUGUCACUUAUAGAUGGAUCCGCGCUGCAUUAGCUAGUUGGUAAGGUAACGGCUUACCAAGGCAACGAUGCAUAGCCGACCUGAGAGGGUGAUCGGCCACACUGGAACUGAGACACGGUCCAGACUCCUACGGGAGGCAGCAGUAGGGAAUCUUCCGCAAUGGGCGAAAGCAUGACGGAGCAACGCCGCGUGAGUGUUGAAGGUCUUCGGAUCGUAAAACUCUGUUAUUAGGGAAGAACAGAUGUGUAAGUAACUGUGCACAUCUUGACGGUACCUAAUCAGAAAGCCACGGCUAACUACGUG